AUUGUUUAGAUCUGAAAUCAGGUGGGAAUACCCGCUGAACUUAAGCAUAUCAAUAAGCGGAGGAAAAGAAACUAACAAGGAUUCCCCUAGUAACGGCGAGUGAAGCGGGAAAAGCUCAAAUUUAAAAUCUGGCAGGUUAUCCUGUCCGAGUUGUAGUUUCAAGAAGCGUUUUCGGUGCGCGUCUGGGUAUAAGUUCUUUGGAACAGGACAUCAUAGAGGGUGAGAAUCCCGUUUAUGACCCGGAACAGCGUACUAUGUGAUACGUUUUCUAAGAGUCAGGUUGUUUGGGAAUGCAGCCUAAAAUGGGUGGUAAAUUUCAUCUAAAGCUAAAUAUUGGCGAGAGACCGAUAGCGAACAAGUACCGUGAGGGAAAGAUGAAAAGAACUUUGAAAAGAGAGUUAAACAGUACGUGAAAUUGUUGAAAGGGAAACGUUUGAAAUCAGUCGUGCGGGCGGGUAAUCAGCUUGGCCUUUGGGUCUUGUGCACUUACUCGUCUCGCAGGCCAGCGUCGGUUUUGUUUGCCGGAUAAAUGCCAAUGGAAUGUAGCUCAACCUUUUACGAGGAGGGGUGUUAUAGCCCUGGUAAAUACGGCGGUCGAGACCGAGGUCUGCAGUUGAUGCCUCUCGGGGCUGGGGACUCCAUCGCUCAUUCGCACCCGCGCCUAGACAGCUUGCUGACUAGGUGUGUGGUCUGUGGGUGACACGGUGGCCUACCACACAUCGACUUGGGU
Molecule: ribosomal RNA, 730 nt
Filed under: Jimgerdemannia flammicorona
Lineage: Eukaryota; Fungi; Mucoromycota; Endogonomycetes; Endogonales; Endogonaceae
Description: eukaryotic LSU rRNA
Rfam family: Eukaryotic large subunit ribosomal RNA
Source: RNAcentral